GCCCGAAUCCUGACACAGGGAGGUAGUGACAAGAAAUAACAAUACAGGGCUACUUUUAGUCUUGUAAUUGGAAUGAGUACAAUUUACAUCUCUUCACGAGGAUCAAUUGGAGGGCAAGUCUGGUGCCAGCAGCCGCGGUAAUUCCAGCUCCAAUAGCGUAUAUUAAAGUUGUUGCAGUUAAAAAGCUCGUAGUCGGAUUUCGGGGCGGGGCGACCGGUCUGCCGAUGGGUAUGCACUGGUCGGCGCGUCCUUCCUUCCGGAGACCGUGCCUACUCUUAACUGAGCGGGGGCGGGAGACGGAUCGUUUACUUUGAAAAAAUCAGAGUGUUUCAAGCAGGCGUCUCGCCUUUGCAUGGAUUAGCAUGGGAUAAUGAAAUAGGACUUUGGUGCUAUUUUGUUGGUUUCGAACACCGAAGUAAUGAUUAACAGGGACAGUCAGGGGCACUCGUAUUCCGUCGAGAGAGGUGAAAUUCUCAGACCAAUGGAAGACGAACAACUGCGAAAGCAUUUGCCAGGGAUGUUUUCACUGAUCAAGAACGAAAGUUAGGGGAUCGAAGACGAUCAGAUAUCGUCGUAGUCUUAACCAUAAACCAUGCCGACUAGGGAUCGGAGGAUGUUAGAUUUGACUCCUUCGGCACCUUACGGGAAACUAAAGUCUUUGGGUUCCGGGGGGAGUAUGGUCGCAAGGCUGAAACUUAAAGGAAUUGACGGAAGGGCACC
RNAcentral lists this ribosomal RNA (720 nucleotides) under uncultured marine haptophyte. RNAcentral describes it as "SSU rRNA". It matches the Rfam family "Eukaryotic small subunit ribosomal RNA", at positions 443 to 1168 of the family's 1831-position model. Lineage: Eukaryota; Haptophyta. The record is from RNAcentral.